This 1225-nucleotide long non-coding RNA is filed under the name Phascolarctos cinereus (koala). Its description in RNAcentral is "lncRNA (ENSPCIG00000012962.2)". The record is from RNAcentral. Lineage: Eukaryota; Metazoa; Chordata; Mammalia; Diprotodontia; Phascolarctidae.
CUCCAUUCCCUCUGCAUGAUUCCUCUAACUAAGCAGACUACUUGCAGGUCUGCACAAAUUCCUAAUGUAAUUAAUUCACACUUUGCCCCUCUCUUUCCUGUAGCCUGAUUCAUGGAACGAAGCCUUUUAUGUCAGACUCCAACUUGUCUUACCUACCCCAGUCUGCAUCACACUCUUCUGUCUUCCAAGCCUUGCUCUGCUUUUCUCUGACACUGUAUAACCUUAAGUACCCAAGGCCUCCACAUGGAUAGAACCUGAUCUCUCCUUAUCCUCAUCAGCUCCCUGUGUUGUCUCUAGUCUACUCCUUCUGUGUGGGACAGCGAAGACCCCUACCCAAAUUGACUACUCAGGAGCCACUCCAAGUGAAGAGGUCUAGGGGUUUUGGGGUGCUGGGACCUCAAGAUCACGGUACCAGGCCCUGCUGAAUGAAUUCAACUCAAAUCUUCAGCCAGAGGAAAAGUUUAUUAGUGAUAAAUCACAUUGACCAGGUGACGCCCAUAAAGACGAGCAUGCAUGAGAGAUUCUCAGCCUUGUGGGCCUGAGAUUCUCAGCAUCUGAAUGAGGGCCAAGGUGGAUCUUAAAUACUAAAGUAACUUUGGGCAGCCAGAGAAGGGGGUUGGGGAAAGGGUCUAGGUAAGAAUUCUAAUUGAGGAGGUCAGAGAGAUUGAAUAGACAAUGGAAAUAGAUAAUGGAGGAACAGGAAGGCAGAAGUUUGAAAGGCAUCUGCACAAAAUCAAGGUGGGGCUAGGACUUUCAAAAGGAGAUAAAGGAAGGCCUUUCUGGGGCCUAUAGACAAGAGGGAGCCUAAGGCUUUCAAAGGGAGAUGAGGGGAGUCGAUUAGGAAAUUUGAAGGUUUAAGGGUUUUUCUGGGUCCUGUAGACAAACAGGAGCCAGAUUCUAUUCAGGGCAAGGGUUGAAGGUGCAUCUGAAUAAGAUCUAAAGGUAAGCUAGGGCUGUGAGUCAGAUUCCCUUUUGGGGCAAAGGGCAAAGAUCUUGGCUUGGGCCCUGCCCCCAUCACAAGUAGGAUGCAGAAAAUUUAUUAGAAUCUCAUGAGAAGUGGGCAGUCCCACUACGAGCUGAAAGGACAACAGAAAUGCUCAUAGCAGGAGGGCUGCUCCCCUGAGCGCUUGUACAGUUUUUAUACAUUUUAGACAAAGAACCCCGAAAAUUCCACCUUCUAUACAUUGUGAUUGGCUAAAUAAACUUUUCUUUCCUUAUUCGGACA